AGAGUUUGAUCCUGGCUCAGGAUGAACGCUAGCGGCAGGCUUAACACAUGCAAGUCGAGGGGUAUAAGUCUUCGGAUUUAGAGACCGGCGCACGGGUGCGUAACGUGUAUGCAAUCUACCCUUCACAGAGGGAUAGCCCAGAGAAAUUUGGAUUAAUACCUCAUAGUAUAGCUGAACCGCAUGGUUCUACUAUUAAAGUCACAACGGUGAAAGAUGAGCAUGCGUCCCAUUAGCUAGUUGGUAAGGUAACGGCUUACCAAGGCUACGAUGGGUAGGGGUCCUGAGAGGGAGAUCCCCCACACUGGUACUGAGACACGGACCAGACUCCUACGGGAGGCAGCAGUGAGGAAUAUUGGUCAAUGGACGCAAGUCUGAACCAGCCAUGCCGCGUGCAGGAUGACGGUCCUAUGGAUUGUAAACUGCUUUUGCACAGGAAGAAACAACUCUACGUGUAGAGUCUUGACGGUACUGUGAGAAUAAGGAUCGGCUAACUCCGUGCCAGCAGCCGCGGUAAUACGGAGGAUCCAAGCGUUAUCCGGAAUCAUUGGGUUUAAAGGGUCCGUAGGCGGUUUAGUAAGUCAGUGGUGAAAGCCCAUCGCUCAACGGUGGAACGGCCAUUGAUACUGCUAGACUUGAAUUAUUAGGAAGUAACUAGAAUAUGUAGUGUAGCGGUGAAAUGCUUAGAGAUUACAUGGAAUACCAAUUGCGAAGGCAGGUUACUACUAAUGGAUUGACGCUGAUGGACGAAAGCGUGGGUAGCGAACAGGAUUAGAUACCCUGGUAGUCCACGCCGUAAACGAUGGAUACUAGCUGUUGGAAGCAAUUUCAGUGGCUAAGCGAAAGUGAUAAGUAUCCCACCUGGGGAGUACGUUCGCAAGAAUGAAACUCAAAGGAAUUGACGGGGGCCCGCACAAGCGGUGGAGCAUGUGGUUUAAUUCGAUGAUACGCGAGGAACCUUACCAAGGCUUAAAUGUAGAUUGACCGGUUUGGAAACAGACUUUUCGCAAGACAAUUUACAAGGUGCUGCAUGGUUGUCGUCAGCUCGUGCCGUGAGGUGUCAGGUUAAGUCCUAUAACGAGCGCAACCCCUGUUGUUAGUUGCCAGCGAGUCAUGUCGGGAACUCUAACAAGACUGCCAGUGUAAACUGUGAGGAAGGUGGGGAUGACGUCAAAUCAUCACGGCCCUUACGCCUUGGGCUACACACGUGCUACAAUGGCCGGUACAGAGAGCAGCCACUGGGCGACCAGGAGCGAAUCUACAAAACCGGUCACAGUUCGGAUCGGAGUCUGCAACUCGACUCCGUGAGGCUGGAAUCGCUAGUAAUCGGAUAUCAGCCAUGAUCCGGUGAAUACGUUCCCGGGCCUUGUACACACCGCCCGUCAAGCCAUGGAAGCUGGGGGUGCCUGAAGUCGGUGACCGCAAGGAGCUGCCUAGGGUAAAACUGGUAACUAGGGCUAAGUCGUAACAAGGUA
Molecule: ribosomal RNA, 1472 nt
Filed under: metagenome
Description: bacterial SSU rRNA
Rfam family: Bacterial small subunit ribosomal RNA
Source: RNAcentral